UCCGGAGUCAGACUCCGGCAGUCCCCCGUGAUACGUGCAACACGGGGCAAGGGUUGCGCUCGUUGCGGGACUUAACCCAACAUCUCACGACACGAGCUGACGACAGCCAUGCAGCACCUGUGUCCUGGCUCCCGAAGGCACCCCUUCAUCUCUGAAGGGUUCCAGGCAUGUCAAGGGCAGGUAAGGUUCUUCGCGUUGCAUCGAAUUAAACCACAUGCUCCACCGCUUGUGCGGGUCCCCGUCAAUUCCUUUGAGUUUUAGCCUUGCGGCCGUACUCCCCAGGCGGGGCACUUAAUGCGCUAGCGUCGGCACGGGAGGAGUCGACACCUCCCACACCUAGUGCCCAUCGUUUACGGCGUGGACUAC
RNAcentral lists this unclassified non-coding RNA (366 nucleotides) under uncultured bacterium. RNAcentral's name for it is "contains 16S-23S intergenic spacer region". The record is from RNAcentral.